GAUGAACGCUAGCUACAGGCUUAACACAUGCAAGUCGAGGGCCCGGCGCACGGGUGAGUAACGCGUAUCCAACCUUCCCAUUUCUGUGGUAUAACCUGCCGUAAGGCAGUCCUAUACCGCAUAUUAAUGCUUUGGGAUUCGUCUGAUUAGCUUGUUGGCGGGGUAACGGCCCACCAAGGCGACGAUCAGUAGGGGUUCUGAGAGGAAGGUCCCCCACAUUGGAACGGAGACACGGUCCAAACGCCUACGGGAGGCAGCAGUGCGGAAUAUAGGUCAAGGGGCGCGAGCCUGAACCAGCCAAGUAGCGUGCAGGAUGACGGCCUAUGGGUGGUAAACUGCUUUUGUAUGGGGAUAGGGAACAAAAGAAUAAGGACCGGCUAAUUCCGUGCCAGCAGCCGCGGUAAUAG
This 407-nucleotide ribosomal RNA is filed under the name uncultured bacterium. Its description in RNAcentral is "partial 16S ribosomal RNA". It matches the Rfam family "Bacterial small subunit ribosomal RNA", at positions 28 to 526 of the family's 1533-position model. The record is from RNAcentral.